UACGUAGGGGGCAAGCGUUGUCCGGAAUCAUUGGGCGUAAAGAGCGUGUAGGCGGUCCGUUAAGUCGGCUGUGAAAGUCCAGGGCUCAACCCUGGGAUGCCGGCCGAUACUGGCGGACUAGAGUCCGGAAGAGGUGAGUGGAAUUCCCGGUGUAGCGGUGAAAUGCGCAGAUAUCAGGAAGAACACCUAUGGCGAAGGCAGCACUCUGGGACGGUACUGACGCUGAGACGCGAAAGCGUGGGGAGCGAACAGG
RNAcentral lists this ribosomal RNA (253 nucleotides) under uncultured bacterium. RNAcentral's name for it is "partial 16S ribosomal RNA". It matches the Rfam family "Bacterial small subunit ribosomal RNA", at positions 524 to 776 of the family's 1533-position model. The record is from RNAcentral.